RNAcentral lists this transfer RNA (65 nucleotides) under Mansonia uniformis. RNAcentral describes it as "tRNA-His". The record is from RNAcentral. Lineage: Eukaryota; Metazoa; Arthropoda; Insecta; Diptera; Culicidae.
AUUUAAAUAGUUUAAAAGAAAAUAUUGAUUUGUGGUGUCAAUGAUAUGAAAAUUCAUUUUAGAUC